GGAAAAAAUGAUCAUGAGAAUAAUGCAGAAUCAUGAUUGGCCAACAACACUAUAUGAUUUGAUAUGCAUAUUAGAAACUAAGCAAUCAUCAUCACUAUCAAAAGCUAAUAAAAAGGAAAUUUCUUAACCAUCCUUUACAAUGAAUUCAUUAUAAAUCAACUUUAGAGCUUACAUAGACCCUCAGCUCCAACUUCGUUUUGAAAUUUGGACUAUCAAGUACCAAGAGCUCACAUCAUGCCAAAGGGCAAUUACAGGUUGGCAUUAUAGAUGAAAGAUCAAGGCAACGACUGCUGCAACUUGCACCAAAAACUGUUUCUGAAUUCUGGGAAACCAGCUGAUCUCAAUUUCACAAGAUUAAAAACUGAGAUUUGUUUUCUCACAAAAUUAAGUAGAAAUUGCUUCUACCAUGUCAAACAUAAAAAUAGCAGAUUUACAGUACACAGUUUCUGCCAUCUGAAGUCAAGUUUAUGCUGUGCAAGCACCAUAGAAUAUUUAAGACGAAUUCUCAAAGAACCAAAUGGAUUCUAAGGGAUAAGAAUUUUAUCAAGCUAAUGAUUUAGAAUAAGAUGUAAGAUACUAAAGCAUGCAUAAACUGAAUUCUAAGACUAUCCAUAGCUGGUAAGCUCUUAUACAACUUUCUAGCGUGUAAUGGAUCUUAGACCAAAAAAAACUGAUCUACAGUGUCAUGCUGUGUUUUAGAAGCUACCAACCUGCUUUGAGACUCUCUUUAUGAUUUCAUCAUUUGGCAAGGGCAUGUAUGGAUCACCUGGUGUA
RNAcentral lists this unclassified non-coding RNA (774 nucleotides) under Hevea brasiliensis (rubber tree). The record is from RNAcentral. Lineage: Eukaryota; Viridiplantae; Streptophyta; Magnoliopsida; Malpighiales; Euphorbiaceae.